Benincasa hispida (wax gourd) is the source of this 1877-nucleotide non-coding RNA. The record is from RefSeq and is a predicted model, not a curated record. Lineage: Eukaryota; Viridiplantae; Streptophyta; Magnoliopsida; Cucurbitales; Cucurbitaceae.
CUUAUUAUUUUAAACGAGUAAAAGGGCUAAAUGCUUCCCCUUACUCGUUUUCUCUUCUGCAAACCCUCCUCGAAACCCUCUCUUCGCAGCACCUCACUAGCCCCAGCCAACUCUCCCUCUCUCCGCUGCUAGUAGUCGACUAGCUCCUCCCUCAGCCACCGCCCUCUAGCGUCCAGCCGAAGCUGUCAGUCGUCGUCGAGCCCAGCCGUUUGCGUGACCAGAUGCUGCCGCUUGUCUCCUUCGCCCAAGCCAGAAGGAGCGUUUACCGCCUGCCGUUCGCGCCGACCAGACGCCGCUGCUCGCACCCCUGCCACCGCGAUGCCCUUGUUGGAGUCGCCCAGCCUCGCGCCAGACGCCGUUCGCCGUACAGCCUCGCUGUCCCCAUUCUAGAUCUGGUCAGUCCUCCACCGGAUCCACUGUUUAUUUGAUAUGGAUUGAGGAAAAAAGGUGUAAUGGAAGAAAUUGGUCUUAGAGGGCCAAAUCAAGAAGGACUGCACGUUUCUAGAGAGCGGCGCCAAUACACGUUUUAACUGUGGGGAAGAAGAGGUCUUGUGGCGUUUAGCUUCUCAUUGAUGAGUAUAUUGAAAAGCUCAAGAACUACUGUCAUGUUGAAGAUGUUCAGUUGCGCUCAAAUCCUAGAAAUGCGCGGGAUCCGAGAGCUCAGGUUGAUGAUGAAGACAUGACUGUCGUGAAUCUUCUCAAGUCUGACGAUUGGGUUUAUCUCUUAACAUUCAUUUUUGUCGGAUCAUUACAUAUUUUGCUAUUCUAGCUUUGCUCGUUUACUAUAAACUAGUUUAGAACUCUCUCUUUUUCAAGUUUUGUAAAGAAGUAGUUGUUGAUUUUUUGCUCAGUUUGAGAAAAGGAUUUUGGAGUAAUUAAGUUUGAUUAAAGUCUAUUUUUACUUUUUGGGUUUAAAUGGAGGAUAGAUUGAAUAAAUUGAAAGAAAGCAAGAUAAGGAGGAAAUGUUAAUCUAAAAUUAGGUAGAAGUAUGCUUGAGAAUAGAUAGAGUUGUUGUUUGAGAAAAAAAAAAGGAAAAAAAAGAAAGAAAGAAAAAGAAAACAUGAAAGGUGAAGUUGAAGAAGAUGAAGAGGAGGGAGAAAAGAAAUAUGUAUUUUAAUUAAGAAAGAAAAAUAAGGAAGAGUUAGAAUAUUUUUAUUAUGAUUAUUUUUAUGGGAAAAGGGCAAAAUUAAUGAAUAUAGAAGGAGUGGAAUUUAAAAGAUAAUGUAGUAGUAUAUAUGCUUAUACUUGUUUAAAAAGAAAGAAAGAGGAAAAGAAAAAGAUUUUCCAUGGAAAUAAAAUAUAAUUUGUAGCAUCUUCUUUAAUGCUUUGCUUGUUUGAAUGUUUGAUGAUGAGAUUGAUUUUGAAGUGUUGGAAGGAGUUAAAUUGCUGUCCAAUAGUUUUGAGACCGACAAAGUUUUGGUAAGUUUAGAGGUUAGUAUUAAUAGUUCUUUAUUACUCUGGGUCUAAUAAUUGAGUUAUUUUCAAUUUUUUAUGUUCAAUUUAAAGAUUUCAAGGGAUUGGAGCCACUGUCCAGCAAAAUUAAUGAUGUUUGGACGUUUUGAUAGGUUAGAUUACUUUGUUGUAGUUUUGAAGUGAGAGGCUAGAUAUGGUCAAAAGAGAAUGAAUGAAAUCCCAAUUGACUUGCUUAAACAUGGCUUGCCUUAGGGGUAGUCAUUCAAACCGCAAAAACCGAACCGUUUCUAAAAACCGAACCGAAAACUCAAUGAAACCGAAAAAUUCGGUUUGAUCUGGUUUGAAGAAAUUUUGAAACCGAAUUAAUUCGGUUCGAUUCGGUUUCACUUUUGAAAAUUGAAUUUGAAAUCGAAUCGAACCGUUUUUAACUAAUAUAUAUAUAUAUAUAUAUAUAUUUAUUUAUU